GAUGAACGCUAGCGGCAGGCCUAACACAUGCAAGUCGAGGGGUAUAGGAAGCUUGCUUCCUAGAGACCGGCGCACGGGUGCGUAACGCGUAUGCAAUCUACCUUAUACAGAGGGAUAGCCCAGAGAAAUUUGGAUUAAUACCUCAUAGUAUUAUUGAAUGGCAUCAUUUAAUAAUUAAAGUUCCAACGGUAUAAGAUGAGCAUGCGUCCCAUUAGUUAGUUGGUAAGGUAACGGCUUACCAAGACAAUGAUGGGUAGGGGUCCUGAGAGGGAGAUCCCCCACACUGGUACUGAGACACGGACCAGACUCCUACGGGAGGCAGCAGUGAGGAAUAUUGGUCAAUGGGCGCAAGCCUGAACCAGCCAUGCCGCGUGCAGGAUGACGGUCCUAUGGAUUGUAAACUGCUUUUAUACAGGAAGAAACACUCGGACGUGUCCGAGCUUGACGGUACUGUAGGAAUAAGGAUCGGCUAACUCCGUGCCAGCAGCCGCAGUAAAAC
This 499-nucleotide ribosomal RNA is filed under the name uncultured bacterium. Its description in RNAcentral is "bacterial SSU rRNA". It matches the Rfam family "Bacterial small subunit ribosomal RNA", at positions 28 to 526 of the family's 1533-position model. The record is from RNAcentral.